GAACGCUGGCGGCGUGCUUAACACAUGCAAGUCGUGCGCGAAAGUUUCCUUCGGGAAGCGAGUAGAGCGGCGCACGGGUGAGUAACACGUGGGUAAUCUACCUUUGAGUUUGGGAUAACCCGGGGAAACCCGGGCUAAUACCGGAUACGGCCUGACGAUCUCUGGAUCGACAGGAGAAAGAGGGCCAAUACUUGUAAGCUCUCGCUCUCUGAUGAGCCCGCGGCCCAUUAGCUUGUUGGUGAGGUAAAGGCUCACCAAGGCUCUGAUGGGUAGCUGAUCUGAGAGGAUGAUCAGCCACACUGGAACUGAGACACGGUCCAGACUCCUACGGGAGGCAGCAGUGGGGAAUUUUGGUCAAUGGGCGAAAGCCUGAACCAGCAACGCCGCGUGCAGGAUGAAGGCCCUCGGGUCGUAAACUGCUGUCAGAAGGGAAGAACGGCCACGUGGUUAAUACCCACGAGGCGUGACGGUACCUUCAAAGGAAGCACCGGCUAACUCCGUG
This 502-nucleotide ribosomal RNA is filed under the name uncultured bacterium. RNAcentral's name for it is "bacterial SSU rRNA". It matches the Rfam family "Bacterial small subunit ribosomal RNA", at positions 31 to 507 of the family's 1533-position model. The record is from RNAcentral.